This 512-nucleotide ribosomal RNA is filed under the name uncultured bacterium. Its description in RNAcentral is "bacterial SSU rRNA". It matches the Rfam family "Bacterial small subunit ribosomal RNA", at positions 15 to 518 of the family's 1533-position model. The record is from RNAcentral.
GAUUCUGGCUCAGGAUGAACGCUAGCGGCAGGCCUAACACAUGCAAGUCGAGGGGCAGCAGGGGGUAGCAAUACCCCGCUGGCGACCGGCGGACGGGUGCGUAACGCGUAUGCAACCUACCCGUAACAGGGGGAAUAACGGAGGGAAACCUCCACUAAUGCCCCAUAUAGUCAGGGGACCGCAUGGUUUCGUGACGAAAGCUUCGGUGGUUACGGACGGGCAUGCGUGGCAUUAGGCGGUUGGCGGGGUAACGGCCCACCAAACCUACGAUGCCUAGGGGAGCUGAGAGGCUAAUCCCCCACACUGGUACUGAGACACGGACCAGACUCCUACGGGAGGCAGCAGUGAGGAAUAUUGGUCAAUGGACGGAAGUCUGAACCAGCCAUGCCGCGUGAAGGAAGACGGCCCUAUGGGUUGUAAACUUCUUUUAGCCGGGAGUAAUAAGGCGCACGUGCUGCGCCGAUGAAAGUACCGGCGGAAUAAGCAUCGGCUAACUCCGUGCCAGCAGCGGC